This 505-nucleotide ribosomal RNA is filed under the name uncultured bacterium. Its description in RNAcentral is "partial 16S ribosomal RNA". It matches the Rfam family "Bacterial small subunit ribosomal RNA", at positions 28 to 507 of the family's 1533-position model. The record is from RNAcentral.
GACGAACGCUGGCGGCGUGCCUAAUACAUGCAAGUAGAACGCACAGUUUAUACCGUAGCUUGCUACACCAUAGACUGUGAGUUGCGAACGGGUGAGUAACGCGUAGGUAACCUGCCUGGUAGCGGGGGAUAACUAUUGGAAACGAUAGCUAAUACCGCAUAAUAUUAAUUAUUGCAUGAUAAUUGAUUGAAAGAUGCAACUGCAUCACUACCAGAUGGACCUGCGUUGUAUUAGCUAGUAGGUGAGGUAACGGCUCACCUAGGCGACGAUACAUAGCCGACCUGAGAGGGUGAUGGGCCACACUGGGACUGGGACACGGCCCAGACUCCUACGGGAGGCAGCAGGAGGGAAUCUUCGGCAAUGGACGAAAGGCUGACCGAGCAACGCCGCGUGAGUGAAGAAGGUUUUCGGAUCGUAAAGCUCUGUUGUAAGAGAAGAACGGGUGUGAGAGUGGAAAGUUCACACUGUGACGGUAUCUUACCAGAAAGGGACGGCUAACUACGUG